GAGAAAAGGCCAUGACAAAUCUAAGGCAAGCUUUGUACACAGGUAUCCUACUUAUACAUUCCUGGAAGAUCAGAUCCAUCAAUCUAUGUUUCUUUUUUCUUCCAUGUUCUCUUUUCUCGAUGCAUAUUUAACAUUCAAUUUUGUCCCCUAUAUAAAAGUUGAUGCUUAUCACAUUUCAAAAACUGUUUGCAGCCACACUACGAAAUGAAUUAGCUUGGUUUGAAAAGCCCGAAAAUAGUAUUGGAUCACUUACAUCAAAGAUAGCCAGUGACACAUCCACAGUGAAGAUCAUAAUAUCUGACCGCAUGUCCGUCAUUGUCCAGUGCAUUUCGUCCAUAUUGAUUGCAACAACUGUCAGCAUGAAAGUUAAUUGGAGAAUGGGUCUGGUAGCCUGGGCGGUGAU
RNAcentral lists this long non-coding RNA (403 nucleotides) under Solanum tuberosum (potato). RNAcentral describes it as "long non-coding RNA (STUB_LNC006811)". The record is from RNAcentral. Lineage: Eukaryota; Viridiplantae; Streptophyta; Magnoliopsida; Solanales; Solanaceae.